AUACGAAGGGUGCAAGCGUUACUCGGAAUUACUGGGCGUAAAGCGUGCGUAGGUGGUUGUUUAAGUCUGUCGUGAAAGCCCUGGGCUCAACCUGGGAAUGGCGAUGGAAACUGGGCGACUAGAGUGUGGCAGAGGGUAGUGGAAUUCCUGGUGUAGCGGUGAAAUGCGUAGAGAUCAGGAGGAACAUCCGUGGCGAAGGCGACUGCCUGGGCCAACACUGACACUGAGGCACGAAAGCGUGGGGAGCAAACAGGAUUAGAUACCCUGGUAGUCCACGCCCUAAACGAUGCGAACUGGAUGUUGGGUGCAAUUUGGCACGCAGUAUCGAAGCUAACGCGUUAAGUUCGCCGCCUGGGGAGUACGGUCGCAAGACUGGAACUCAAAUGAAUUGACGGGG
Molecule: ribosomal RNA, 397 nt
Filed under: uncultured bacterium
Lineage: Bacteria
Description: partial 16S ribosomal RNA
Rfam family: Bacterial small subunit ribosomal RNA
Source: RNAcentral